Molecule: RNA transcript, 2528 nt
Organism: Diospyros lotus (date-plum)
Lineage: Eukaryota; Viridiplantae; Streptophyta; Magnoliopsida; Ericales; Ebenaceae
Exons: 6
Source: RefSeq, a predicted model, not a curated record
GGGACUGAUGAUGAUGGUAAGCAGAGAAGGGGCUUGUUCAGGCCACCGUCGUUGAUUUCUGCGAAGCUUUACCUUUACGAUGAAUAUUUGCUCCAACAAUGGCCUUAAUAAAAGGAAUAGAACUCAGUAAAGGUUGGGCAACAAAAGCGAAAGUGAACCAGAAAUGAGCAAAUGAAGAGAGACGUCAUGGACUCAUGGCUGCGAGCUUGCAAAGGACGAAAGGAAACGGAGCAAUGCAUUGGGCAAGCCACCGCCAACGGAUUCACGAGACAGAGAGGGAGGGCGGCCAAAUUGACAUUUUAUGCUGUCGGCGAAUUCGGUCGUUCUCUUUUAUCGGUUUUAGUAUCACUGUCCGUGUUAAAAUUCAAAACAAUGUUAUUUAUUGCAAAAUUUAAUUCAAUAAAAUAAAGCUGGCUUUGUGAAAAAUUCGGAUGUUUUCUCUCUACUGAGAGAGAGGGAGGCAUGGAUUACAGUCUAGCGGCGCUGAAGCUGCUAUGCGUGCAGCUAAAGAGCGCCCGCCAAACGCCGUCGCAAUCCGCCAUGACUCUCGCCGGCGUCCUCUUCCAACGUGCCUGCUUACAAGGAAUUUUGGUCUCAACAGCCUCCCAUGGACACGACGGCGACGGAUGUUUUCUCCUCGACGACGGCACCGGUAUCAUCGAGCUCUCUCUGUCCGGCGAAUUCCGGAACCACCGGUGGGACAUAGGAAUGUAUGUAAUGGUGGUCGGAGUGUUUGUCUUCCGCACUGGUAAAAUCCCCUUGAUUAAGAAGAUCAUGGGUUCGAGUUGUGGAAAUAAACUAAUUGCAAAGCAGUGUGAAGUGGGCAAGCAUUCGUAGUGACGAUAUGGUUUUUCCUUUGUGAAUGGAAGAUCAUGGGUUCGAGUUGUGGAAAUAAUUUAAUUGCAAAGCAAUGUGAAGGCAGUGUACACAAUCUACUCUCACUUAACCCUUGCAAAGCGGGAAAUCACUUGUUGGUAGGAUGCCUUUUUUUUAGUAUGUUGAUUUAUUUUUUUCCUUAAUUAUACUUAUUAUGUUGAAAUGUAUUUUUAAAUUUUUUAUUGUUAUUACUAUGUUGGUUUAGUGGGCAACAUUUGCAGCGAUAUGGCUGAUCCUUUGUGAACGGAAGGUUGCAGGUUUGAGUUGUGGAAAUAACCUAAUUGCAAAACAAUGUGAAGGUUGCGUACACAACCUACUCUCUCCCAACCCUCAUAAAGCAAGACACCAAUUCUUGCAAGGAUGUCUUUUUAUUAGUACGUUGAUUUAUUGGUGUUGAGACACAUGUUUUUUUUUUUAUUCUUAUUUGUAUGUUGGUUUUGUGGGAGAGCCUUGGUAGGAAUGUAUUAGUCCAUUGAUUUUCCUCUUCCUUGCCUUUUGUUUUGGCUUCUCUUCUGUUCCCACAUGUUGUUUGUAAGAAUUUUAUUACUAUUAGGUUUUCAUUAUUAUUUCAAUGUUUUGGCAUUCUUAAUUUAUAAAUUUUGCAUACACUAACCUUAUUAUUUGUAUUUGAGAAACAUUGGUUGACAUUACCCUUUCCUUUUUCUUAUCAUCUCUGAUAGAAGAAGUGGUUUGUCAAUUGAGGUAAUUUCCUUCUCUUCAUUAGUAGCUUCCUCGGUUUUCAUCGGAUUAAGUUUGUUAUUUGUUUUUCUUGCUAGCAACAAUCUUUGUACUAUCUUUCUUCAUCUUGCCAGGUGUUGUGGAGGGUUGCUUUACCAAUCAAGUUGUUCCACUUGGUUCUUUUAUUGGAUGUGGGUUGUUAACUUGCAUGUGGCACUUAAGUGAUAACACUCGAGAUGCGUGCCAAGGAUUAAUGUUAUGUGACUCAUUGGGGAUGGGACUGAGACGGACUCCACCUUAUGGUACUCAAGUGGCGAGGCUGAGAAUGGACACCAUCCUGAAUGUUGGCUCAAGUGGCGGGGCUAAGAGUAGACACCACCUCAAUUUCCUUUGAGAAAUAACAUUAUUGCCUAGGUGGACGUUGAUUCCGAGGAUAGUAUUGGUCCUCUUGUGGCUAGGGUUGUGUUGAGAUCCGUAAUGCUUUUGAAUUGGAGCGUAAUGCCUAAUAUGAUAUAGGGGUGAUACCCGGGUUUAUGCGUUGAGGUUAUCCCUCUUAAACAGGAUUGUAUUAUGCCAAUGUGUCGAUGAGGUUGUGUUGUUUUAAGAGAGAUUGCAUUUUUCCCGGUUAAAGUUAAGUGUUGUGUGAUAUUCUCUUAGGUUAGCACAUGUUGGGAUGUGUCGAUUUUGUUUCAUGGUUUUGUAUAUAUUCAUGAAUAUGUUUUAAAUUCUCGCUUAGAUAAUUCAUCAUCUAAUUUGGACUUUGUCCCAAGAAUAUUCAAAUGUUUCAGGUGAAAGUAGCAACGCUAAGAGAAAGAAUGCUAUCGAGAUGUAGUUAAUAGUUACAUAUUAGAUCUUUUGUAGGUCUUUAUUUAUGUACAAGAUAUUCAGAUAUUAUGUAUUAUUUUGAUGAUGUCAUGUUGAACAUUGAUGGUACGAAUUUUAUAUUAUGAAUAAAGGAAUUUCGGUUAUGUAUC